GGUGUAGCUCAGUGGUAGAGUGCUUAAUUACAAUUCAGGAGGCCCUGAGUUUGAGUCUCAGAACCA
This 66-nucleotide transfer RNA is filed under the name Heterocephalus glaber (naked mole-rat). It matches the Rfam family "tRNA". From Rfam's summary of the family: Transfer RNA (tRNA) molecules are approximately 80 nucleotides in length. Their secondary structure includes four short double-helical elements and three loops (D, anti-codon, and T loops). The record is from Rfam by way of RNAcentral. Lineage: Eukaryota; Metazoa; Chordata; Mammalia; Rodentia; Bathyergidae.